RNAcentral lists this ribosomal RNA (460 nucleotides) under uncultured bacterium. RNAcentral's name for it is "partial 16S ribosomal RNA". It matches the Rfam family "Bacterial small subunit ribosomal RNA", at positions 338 to 795 of the family's 1533-position model. The record is from RNAcentral.
CCUACGGGUGGCAGCAGUGAGGAAUAUUGGUCAAUGGACGAGAGUCUGAACCAGCCAAGUCGCGUGAAGGAUGACUGCCCUCUGGAUGGUAAACUUCUUUUAUAUGGGAAUAAAAUCUGCCACGUGUGGGAUUUUGUAUGUACCAUAUGAAGAAGGAUCGGCUAACUCCGUGCCAGCAGCCGCGGUAAUACGGAGGAUCCGAGCGUUAUCCGGAUUUAUUGGGUGUAAAGGGAGCGUAGGUGGAUUGUUAAGUGAGUGGUGAAAGUUUGCGGCUCAACCGUAAAACUGCAGUUGAAACUGGGAGUCUUGAGUACAGUAGAGGUGGGCGGAAUUCGUGGUGUAGCGGUGAAAUGCUUAGAUAUCACGAAGAACUCCGAUUGUGAAGGCAGCUCACUGGACUGCAACUGACACUGAGGCUCGAAAGUGUGGGGAUCAAACAGGAUUAGAUACCCCUGUAGUC